GAAAAGGUAGCUAAAUUAUAUUAAUUUAAUUUUAUAAUAAUAAUGAAUUGAUGACAUAUUACAAUACACAUAAAAAUCAAGAACUUCUCAACAACUAAAAAACAGUGGUAGGUGCAUCUCAUCCUUAUCUUCUCAUCUUUUCCAACACAAUUCUCCUCAUUUUUUAAACGUUUCUUUCACAUUAUUCUCUUUCUCACACUUUUUAUUUAUUUUUAUAAUAAAAAUAAAUAAAAUGGUUAAAUGAUUAUUUUGUAUCUGAAU
RNAcentral lists this long non-coding RNA (261 nucleotides) under Vigna radiata. Its description in RNAcentral is "long non-coding RNA (VRAD_LNC017860)". The record is from RNAcentral. Lineage: Eukaryota; Viridiplantae; Streptophyta; Magnoliopsida; Fabales; Fabaceae.